ACCCUACUAUGCCUAGCCGUAACACAACAAUCAAAUUACUGAUUGUUCGCCAAAUAACUACGAGCAUAAGCUUAAAAUUUAAAAGACUUGACGGUACUUCACAACAACCUAGAGGAGCCUGUCUAAUAACCGAUACUCCACGAUUAACCCAACCCACUCUAGCCUAACAGUCUAUAUACCGCCGUCGCCAGCUUACCUUGUGAAAGAAAUAAAGUAAGCAAAAUAAGCCACCAUUAACACGACAGGUCGAGGUGUAACUAAUGAGUGGGUUAAAGAUGGGCUACAUUUUCUAAUACAGAAAAUACGAACAAACUAUGAAACUAGAAACUGAAGGCGGAUUUAGCAGUAUGUUAAGAACAAAAUACUUAACUGAAACCAACGCAAUGAAGUGCGCACACACCGCCCGUCAUCCCUGCCACUAACUACAAAACAUCCAUAAAACAUACCAUUCACAAAAACAGGGCAAGUC
RNAcentral lists this ribosomal RNA (469 nucleotides) under Tachymenis peruviana (Peru slender snake). RNAcentral describes it as "partial small subunit ribosomal RNA". The record is from RNAcentral. Lineage: Eukaryota; Metazoa; Chordata; Lepidosauria; Squamata; Dipsadidae.